RNAcentral lists this ribosomal RNA (414 nucleotides) under uncultured microorganism. RNAcentral describes it as "bacterial SSU rRNA". It matches the Rfam family "Archaeal small subunit ribosomal RNA", at positions 459 to 872 of the family's 1478-position model. The record is from RNAcentral.
CAGCAGCCGCGGUAAUACCGGCGGCCCGAGUGGCGGUCACUAUUAUUGGGCUUAAAACGUCCGUAGCCGGGUUGGGAAGUCCUCCGGGAAAUCUGGCCGCUUAACGGUCAGAAUGCCGGAGGAUACUCCCAGCCUAGGGAGCGGGAGAGGCCGAGGGUAUUCCCGGAGUAGGGGUGAAAUCCUAUAAUCCCGGGAGGACCACCUGUGGCGAAGGCGCUCGGCUGGGACGCGUCCGACGGUGAGGGACGAAGGCCAGGGGAGCAAACCGGAUUAGAUACCCGGGUAGUCCUGGCUGUAAACGAUGCGGACUUUGUGUCGGACAAGCUAUGAGCUUGUCCGGUGCCGGAGGGAAACCGUUAAGUCCGCCGCCUGGGGAGUACGGCCGCAAGGCUGAAACUUAAAGGAAUUGGCGGG